AGAGUUUGAUCCUGGCUCAGGAUAAACGCUGGCGGCGUGCCUAACACAUGCAAGUCGAACGCUCUUGGCAACAAGGGAGUGGCGGACGGGUGAGGAACACGUGGGUACCUGCCCUGAGGUGAGGAAUACCGGCGAGAAAUCGCCGACAAUACCGCAUAGGCUUCCUUCGGGAAGCAAAGCUCGCAAGAGCGCCACAGGAG
Molecule: ribosomal RNA, 200 nt
Filed under: uncultured bacterium
Lineage: Bacteria
Description: partial 16S ribosomal RNA
Rfam family: Bacterial small subunit ribosomal RNA
Source: RNAcentral